GGGCUGGCCGGGCGGUCCGCCGUUUCGGUGAGUACUGCCUUUCGGUCGGUCCUUUCCUUCUGGUCAACCGGUGUGCCCUUCAGUGGGUGUGCCGGGGAGCCAGGACUUUUACCUUGAAAAAAUUAGAGUGUUCAAAGCAGGCGCACGCUUGUAUAGAUUAGCAUGGAAUAAUAGAAUAGGACUUUGGUCUUAUUUUGUUGGUUUCUAAGACCACAGUAAUGAUUAAUAGGGAUAGUUG
This 238-nucleotide ribosomal RNA is filed under the name uncultured Archaeospora. RNAcentral's name for it is "partial 18S ribosomal RNA". The stretch from base 95 to 238 matches the Rfam family "Eukaryotic small subunit ribosomal RNA", at positions 738 to 884 of the family's 1831-position model. Lineage: Eukaryota; Fungi; Glomeromycota; Glomeromycetes; Archaeosporales; Archaeosporaceae. The record is from RNAcentral.